This 844-nucleotide ribosomal RNA is filed under the name Wolbachia sp. Bpe. RNAcentral's name for it is "bacterial SSU rRNA". It matches the Rfam family "Bacterial small subunit ribosomal RNA", at positions 85 to 967 of the family's 1533-position model. The record is from RNAcentral. Lineage: Bacteria; Pseudomonadati; Pseudomonadota; Alphaproteobacteria; Rickettsiales; Anaplasmataceae.
GUAUAACUUAGUGGCAGACGGGUGAGUAAUGUAUAGGAAUCUACCUAGUAGUACGGAAUAAUUGUUGGAAACGGCAACUAAUACCGUAUACGCCCUACGGGGGAAAAAUUUAUUGCUAUUAGAUGAGCCUAUAUUAGAUUAGCUAGUUGGUGGGGUAAUAGCCUACCAAGGCAAUGAUCUAUAGCUGAUCUGAGAGGAUGAUCAGCCACACUGGAACUGAGAUACGGUCCAGACUCCUACGGGAGGCAGCAGUGGGGAAUAUUGGACAAUGGGCGAAAGCCUGAUCCAGCCAUGCCGCAUGAGUGAAGAAGGCCUUCGGGUUGUAAAGCUCUUUUAGUGAGGAAGAUAAUGACGGUACUCACAGAAGAAGUCCUGGCUAACUCCGUGCCAGCAGCCGCGGUAAUACGGAGAGGGCUAGCGUUAUUCGGAAUCAUUGGGCGUAAAGGGCGCGUAGGCGGAUUAGUAAGUUAAAAGUGAAAUCCCAAGGCUCAACCUUGGAAUUGCUUUUAAAACUGCUAGUCUAGAGAUUGAAAGAGGAUAGAGGAAUUCCUAGUGUAGAGGUGAAAUUCGUAAAUAUUAGGAGGAACACCAGUGGCGAAGGCGUCUAUCUGGUUCAAAUCUGACGCUGAGGCGCGAAGGCGUGGGGAGCAAACAGGAUUAGAUACCCUGGUAGUCCACGCUGUAAACGAUGAAUGUUAAAUAUGGGAAGUUUACUUUCUGUAUUACAGCUAACGCGUUAAACAUUCCGCCUGGGGACUACGGUCGCAAGAUUAAAACUCAAAGGAAUUGACGGGGACCCGCACAAGCGGUGGAGCAUGUGGUUUAAUUCGAUGCAGCGCGAAAA